UGAUUCAGUGAUUCUUAAGAUGGGAGUGUAAGGAAAAGGCAAGAGAAAAAGCAGCAAGCUAGUUUGAAGGUUAAAUCGAAACUCGGUGGAAGAAGUGCUUGAAUAGCAGAUAGCAUAGCAGCAUGCUUUGCGAGUACCUUGCACGUGGGGCAUGAAGUUGGGACAUGGGACAAGACCCUCUCGCAUGAACUUGGGAACUCAACAUGUUAUACGUAUCAGAAAACAGAAAAAAAGAAAAGAAUAAAUAAGUUGUUGGUGUGUGUGGGGUGUGAGCUUUGGACAAGUGAUUGUGCCUGAACUCAGCCAAAGGGUGGCCAUUUUCCUUUCUUUUAUCUUCUCUCUCUCUCUGUCUUUAUACUCUCACCCCAAAUAAAUGAAAGGGCUUGCCCCAUUGCACUUCCUUACAGCUUAGCCUUCCCUAGCCCAACCCCAUAAGCCUCUUUCUCUCUCUCACCCUUGCAUACGUUCCUUUCACUGUACUUUUUGACACACACACCUAAGACAUUCAUCAGAGGAAGAGAGAAUGAGUUCAUCCUCAGGUCAGAGCAGUGGCUAUGAUCUCUCUUUCAAGAUCUUGUUGAUUGGAGAUUCCGGGGUGGGAAAAAGUAGCCUACUUGUCAGCUUUAUUUCAAGUUCUGUUGAAGAUCUUUCCCCCACCAUUGGUGUUGAUUUUAAGAUCAAAACUCUCACAGUAGGUGGCAAGAGAUUGAAAUUGACGAUUUGGGAUACUGCUGGGCAGGAAAGGUUCAGGACUCUAAACAGUUCCUACUAUAGAAAAGCACAAGGAAUCAUUCUCGUUUAUGAUGUCACAAGGAGAGAAACCUUUACAAACUUAUCAGAAGUGUGGUCUAAGGAAGUGGAACUCUACUCAACUAAUCAGGAUUGUGUGAAGAUACUAGUUGGAAAUAAAGUUGAUAGAGAUACUGAAAGGGCUGUGAGCAGAGAAGAGGGUUUAGCACUUGCUAAAGAAUUGGGGUGUUUGCUUCUUGAAUGUAGUGCUAAAACAAGGGAAAAUGUGGAGCAGUGCUUUGAGGAACUUGCUCUAAAGAUAAUGGAAGCUCCUAGUCUUUUGGAAGAAGGAUCAACAGCAGUUAAAAGGAGUGUUUUAAAACCAAAACAAGAAUCCCAAGCAUCCCAAAAUGGUGGUUGUUGCUCUUAAAAUGAUACAACAUCGUGGUGUGGACAUUGAGUCUUCUUAACUAGCAAUCUUUGACAAGUCUUGUAUAUGUAAGCUUCUUCCUUAGUUUCUUCUGCCACUGUCUUUUGAUUGCGUAAUUACUUGUAUUACCGGAAUGGGGAAAUUGGCAACAAUGGCGUCUAUUAGCUUGUGUAAAUUUGUUUGCCUACGAAUGACUAUAUCAUUUAUGUGUUGCUCCCAAGUCACAAGUCAAUCCUGAUACUACAA
Glycine soja is the source of this 1405-nucleotide RNA transcript. It is a transcript of the gene named ras-related protein RABC2a-like, with no coding region annotated. Lineage: Eukaryota; Viridiplantae; Streptophyta; Magnoliopsida; Fabales; Fabaceae. The record is from RefSeq and is a predicted model, not a curated record. The transcript is spliced from 6 exons.